This 253-nucleotide ribosomal RNA is filed under the name uncultured bacterium. RNAcentral describes it as "partial 16S ribosomal RNA". It matches the Rfam family "Bacterial small subunit ribosomal RNA", at positions 524 to 776 of the family's 1533-position model. The record is from RNAcentral.
UACAGAGGGUGCAAGCGUUGUUCGGAAUUACUGGGCGUAAAGCACACGUAGGCGGAUAUUUAAGUCAGGGGUGAAAUCCCAGAGCUCAACUCUGGAACUGCCUUUGAUACUGGGUAUCUCGAGUAUGGAAGAGGUGAGUGGAAUUCCGAGUGUAGAGGUGAAAUUCGUAGAUAUUCGGAGGAACACCAGUGGCGAAGGCGGCUCACUGGUCCAUUACUGACGCUGAGGUGCGAAAGCGUGGGGAGCAAACAGG